AUACGGAAGGUGCAAGCGUUAAUCGGAAUCACUGGGCGUAAAGCGCGCGUAGGCCGCCUUUUAAGUCGGACGUGAAAGCCCUCGGCUCAACCGAGGAACUGCGUUCGAAACUGGGAGGCUUGAGUCCGGGAGAGGGUAGUGGAAUUCCAGGUGUAGGAGUGAAAUCCGUAGAGAUCUGGAGGAACACCAGUGGCGAAGGCGACUACCUGGACCGAUACUGACACUGAGGAGCGAAAGCGUGGGGAGC
Molecule: ribosomal RNA, 247 nt
Filed under: uncultured bacterium
Lineage: Bacteria
Description: partial 16S ribosomal RNA
Rfam family: Bacterial small subunit ribosomal RNA
Source: RNAcentral